UGCUGAGAAGAUAAAAUGGAAUUCUGAAACCUACGUUUGCACUUUUUCUGUCUGCUAAUCCACAUAAUUUCUGACUGGAGGUACACUUGGAAUUUACUUUAUUUGGCCUUCUGCUGUUUUAUGUGCCACAAUCUCCUACAGAUACAGGAUAAUUGGUUUAGCGUUUGGGGAUCUGACCACAAGAUGGCAGAGCUUCUCUGCUCAUGUAGAAUGUAUGAAAGGAUCCUUUUGGUUGACUUCUGUGAGUAGGCUGAGGACAGAAGCAGAUGCCUCUGUGGACUGUUUAAGAAACCACAGUGCUUUGGAGGAAAGGAAGAGACACUUGAUAAUAUAGCUCUCUUGGCUGGAGAUUGCAGGUCCCGGUGGGGAGAACAAUGAAGACACUUACUGGAUCUUUGUUCCUGUUUUUGUGGCUGCAGCUGGACUGUAUGAGUAGAGGAGAGGAUGUGGAGCAGAGUCUUUUCCUGAGUGUCCGAGAGGGAGACAUCUCCGUUAUAAACUGCACUUACACGGACAGUUCCUCCACCUACUUAUAUUGGUAUAAGCAAGAACCUGGAGCAGGUCUCCAGUUGCUGAUAUAUAUUCUUUCAAAUAUGGACCUGAAACGAGACCAAAGAGUCACUGUUCUAUUGAAUAAGAAGGAUAAACAUCUGUCUUUGCGCAUCGCAGACACCCAGACUGAGGACUCAGCUAUCUACUUCUGUGCAGAGAGUACACAUUGCCUCUCAGGCACCUGUAUCCUGUACCUAAACCUGCGCCUGGGGCUAAAGCCACACUCUAUUUCCUUUAUCUUUAAGUCAGGGAUUUUGCUGUUUUGUAUUUUUAAUGUUACAAAACAUCCUAAAACGUCAGUUUCAAAAUGACUUAAUAACUUUCAGAACAUUUUGAUUAAACUCUUUUUGGGAGUUAAUGAUUUCUUAGUUGAAAUCCUGGUCUUAG
This is a non-coding RNA of Cercocebus atys (sooty mangabey), 939 nucleotides long. The record is from the annotation of a RefSeq genome assembly. Lineage: Eukaryota; Metazoa; Chordata; Mammalia; Primates; Cercopithecidae.